GAUGAACGCUGGCGGCGUGCCUAAUACAUGCAAGUCGAGCGAACAGACGAGGAGCUUGCUCCUCUGACGUUAGCGGCGGACGGGUGAGUAACACGUGGAUAACCUACCUAUAAGACUGGGAUAACUUCGGGAAACCGGAGCUAAUACCGGAUAAUAUAUUGAACCGCAUGGUUCAAUAGUGAAAGACGGUUUUGCUGUCUCUUAUAGAUGGAUCCGCGCCGCAUUGGCUAGUUGGUAAGGUAACGGCUUACCAAGGCAACGAGGCGUAGCCGACCUGAGAGGGUGAUCGGCCACACUGGAACUGAGACACGGUCCAGACUCCUACGGGAGGCAGCAGUAGGGAAUCUUCCGCAAUGGGCGAAAGCUUGACGGAGCAACGCCGCGUGAGUGAUGAAGGUCUUCGGAUCGUAAAACUCUGUUAUUAGGGAAGAACAAAUGUGUAAGUAACUAUGCACGUCUUGACGGUACCUAAUCAGAAAGCCACGGCUAACUACGUG
This 497-nucleotide ribosomal RNA is filed under the name uncultured bacterium. Its description in RNAcentral is "partial 16S ribosomal RNA". It matches the Rfam family "Bacterial small subunit ribosomal RNA", at positions 28 to 507 of the family's 1533-position model. The record is from RNAcentral.